Carlito syrichta (Philippine tarsier) is the source of this 72-nucleotide small nucleolar RNA. NCBI's taxonomy places the organism in Eukaryota, Metazoa, Chordata, Mammalia, Primates, Tarsiidae. The record is from Ensembl.
GGUCAAUGAUGUAAUGGCAUGUAUUAGCUGAUUCCAGAAGUGAUGUAAGUUCUAAAAUUACACUGAGACCUU